UGGGGAAUAUUGGACAAUGGGCGCAAGCCUGAUCCAGCCAUGCCGCGUGAGUGAUGAAGGCCUUAGGGUUGUAAAGCUCUUUUGUCCGGGAAGAUAAUGACUGUACCGGAAGAAUAAGCCCCGGCUAACUUCGUGCCAGCAGCCGCGGUAAUACGAAGGGGGCUAGCGUUGCUCGGAAUCACUGGGCGUAAAGGGCGCGUAGGCGGACUCUUAAGUCGGGGGUGAAAGCCCAGGGCUCAACCCUGGAAUUGCCUUCGAUACUGAGAGUCUUGAGUUCGGAAGAGGUUGGUGGAACGGCGAGUGUAGAGGUGAAAUUCGUAGAUAUACGCAAGAACACCAGUGGCGAAGGCGGCCAACUGGUCCGGUACUGACGCUGAGGCGCGAAAGCGUGGGGAGCAAUCAGA
Molecule: ribosomal RNA, 404 nt
Filed under: Bacillota bacterium
Lineage: Bacteria; Bacillati; Bacillota
Description: Firmicutes bacterium partial 16S ribosomal RNA
Rfam family: Bacterial small subunit ribosomal RNA
Source: RNAcentral